RNAcentral lists this ribosomal RNA (465 nucleotides) under Vreelandella stevensii. Its description in RNAcentral is "partial 16S ribosomal RNA". It matches the Rfam family "Bacterial small subunit ribosomal RNA", at positions 338 to 795 of the family's 1533-position model. Lineage: Bacteria; Pseudomonadati; Pseudomonadota; Gammaproteobacteria; Oceanospirillales; Halomonadaceae. The record is from RNAcentral.
CCUACGGGGUGUAGCAGUGGGGAAUAUUGGACAAUGGGCGAAAGCCUGAUCCAGCCAUGCCGCGUGUGUGAAGAAGGCCUUCGGGUUGUAAAGCACUUUCAGUGGGGAAGAAAGCCUUGGGGCUAAUACCCUCGAGGAAGGACAUCACCCACAGAAGAAGCACCGGCUAACUCCGUGCCAGCAGCCGCGGUAAUACGGAGGGUGCGAGCGUUAAUCGGAAUUACUGGGCGUAAAGCGCGCGUAGGCGGUCUGAUAAGCCGGUUGUGAAAGCCCCGGGCUCAACCUGGGAACGGCAUCCGGAACUGUCAGGCUAGAGUGCAGGAGAGGAAGGUAGAAUUCCCGGUGUAGCGGUGAAAUGCGUAGAGAUCGGGAGGAAUACCAGUGGCGAAGGCGGCCUUCUGGACUGACACUGACGCUGAGGUGCGAAAGCGUGGGUAGCAAACAGGAUUAGAUACCCCUGUAGUC